CCUACGGGUGGCAGCAGUGAGGAAUAUUGGUCAAUGGACGCAAGUCUGAACCAGCCAUGCCGCGUGCAGGAAGACGGCUCUAUGAGUUGUAAACUGCUUUUGUACGAGAGUAAACUCAGAUACGCGUAUCUUUCUGAACGUAUCUUACGAAUAAGGAUCGGCUAACUCCGUGCCAGCAGCCGCGGUAAUACGGAGGAUUCAAGCGUUAUCCGGAUUUAUUGGGUUUAAAGGGUGCGUAGGCGGGCGGAUAAGUUAGAGGUGAAAUCCUGAGGCUCAACUUCGGAAUUGCAUUUGAUACUGUUAGGCUAGAGAGUAGUUGCGGUAGGCGGAAUGUAUGGUGUAGCGGUGAAAUGCUUAGAGAUCAUACAGAACACCGAUUGCGAAGGCAGCUUACCAAGCUACGUCUGACGUUGAGGCACGAAAGCGUGGGGAGCAAACAGGAUUAGAUACCCCUGUAGUC
This 460-nucleotide ribosomal RNA is filed under the name uncultured bacterium. RNAcentral describes it as "partial 16S ribosomal RNA". It matches the Rfam family "Bacterial small subunit ribosomal RNA", at positions 338 to 795 of the family's 1533-position model. The record is from RNAcentral.